Molecule: long non-coding RNA, 450 nt
Filed under: Nicotiana benthamiana
Lineage: Eukaryota; Viridiplantae; Streptophyta; Magnoliopsida; Solanales; Solanaceae
Description: long non-coding RNA (NBEN_LNC005681)
Source: RNAcentral
UUGGAGCUUCAGUGUCCUCUCCUGAGCUAUCGUAACCAUCUUGUUGGUCUUCUUCUGCAGAUGAGCAACCAGCAGAACCUUCGUCCCAGCUAUCUUCAUCAUCAAAAUAUCGUUGAUCCCAGAGUUUCGAUUUAAUUACAAUAUCGUUGAUCCCAAAGUUCCUACAGUUUCAAACUAGUGAAAAUUUCUCGUGCAAAAUUCUUGUUCUCUUAUUCUUGCGUAUAGACUUCAUUUGGAUAUUUAAGAGAAUCGGUUCAGAUUUGAGCGGUAUUGUAAUGAAUUCAAGGGGUAAAACUAUACUAGAGGUUUGAGUUGAUUUUGGAGCUUUCAAGGUAAGUGUUUGUUCUAACUUUUGCUUGAGGGAAUAAGAUUAGGAUAUGAAUUGCUAAUUGCUAAAUGUGGAGUACGGUAUAUAAGCAUGAUGACGAAUAUCUAUGGACCAGAGUCUAG